Molecule: ribosomal RNA, 253 nt
Filed under: uncultured bacterium
Lineage: Bacteria
Description: partial 16S ribosomal RNA
Rfam family: Bacterial small subunit ribosomal RNA
Source: RNAcentral
UACGAAGGGGGCUAGCGUUGCUCGGAAUCACUGGGCGUAAAGGGUGCGUAGGCGGGUCUUUAAGUCAGGGGUGAAAUCCUGGAGCUCAACUCCAGAACUGCCUUUGAUACUGAGGAUCUUGAGUUCGGGAGGGGUGAGUGGAACUGCGAGUGUAGAGGUGAAAUUCGUAGAUAUUCGCAAGAACACCAGUGGCGAAGGCGGCUCACUGGCCCGAUACUGACGCUGAGGCACGAAAGCGCGGGGAGCGAACAGG